AGGGGUGGCAAUCUGAGCAAUGGCUGCGGAUUCUGAGGACAGGGAAUAUGAGGAGGAGGAAGUCGAGGAUGAGCUUGCAGAGGGCACACAGCGCUCUGUUCUCACCAACAGCCAGGACCUUUUUCUCACCCUGAAGUUCCCUCCAAGCCUUCCCAAGGUGGUAUCCCAGACAAUGAAGCCAUGGAAGGGACCUCUGGUGAGUG
Molecule: non-coding RNA, 203 nt
Organism: Chelonoidis abingdonii (Abingdon island giant tortoise)
Lineage: Eukaryota; Metazoa; Chordata; Testudines; Testudinidae
Source: RefSeq, a predicted model, not a curated record